Molecule: long non-coding RNA, 542 nt
Organism: Plectropomus leopardus (leopard coralgrouper)
Lineage: Eukaryota; Metazoa; Chordata; Actinopteri; Perciformes; Serranidae
Source: RefSeq, a predicted model, not a curated record
CUGCACCACUGGCAGCAGAAACCUGGGUUCCCUGGUAACAAUGUUGGACUGAGUAAAAUUGGACAGAAACUGGAUCCCGCUUCCCUGGAGGUCUUGGCUCUGCUGAGGAUCUAAGGUGCAUCUCUAUCAGUCUGACACACAGGAUGGUUUAUGGACAACAGAGCUGCAAUUUCUUGUACAAGUCAUAAAGAUCCCACAUGGUGUUACAUCCUCAGACCUCUUGUCCUGAAGCAGCAUGUUGAGGGCUGGAUUACGUCCAAAAGUCUCUCGUGAAAAAUGUGUUUCUGACAACCUGGGUGCAGUAACUCUUGAAAAUGUGACUGUUUCCGAUCCUAAUGAUCCAGCCACUUCCUCCUGCCCUGCAGUAACCUCUUUUUCCACCAUUCCCAUCGCCUGAUCCUCACAAAGUCACUGCUCGUUUCUAGCUUUCCAGCUUUUGAUCUGCCUGUGUGACCUACUGCCUGAACUAUGAAUUGAUGAUUCUCUACCUUACAUCCCUCUACUAAACUCCUUAUAUGAGUAGAUUAUCAUGAGGAGAUAUU